RNAcentral lists this ribosomal RNA (468 nucleotides) under uncultured bacterium. RNAcentral's name for it is "partial 16S ribosomal RNA". It matches the Rfam family "Bacterial small subunit ribosomal RNA", at positions 28 to 507 of the family's 1533-position model. The record is from RNAcentral.
GACGAACGCUGGCGGCGUGCUUAACACAUGCAAGUCGAACGGAAAGGCCCUGCUUUUGUGGUGUUCUCGAGUGGCGAACGGGUGCGUAACACGUGAGUAUCCUGCCCUUGACUUUGGUAUAACUUCAGGAAACUGGGGCUACUACCGUAUCGGAGCUCCUGCUGCAUGGUGGGGGUUGGAUCUUUUCGGCUGUUGGGGAUGGACUCGCGGCUUAUCAGCUUGUUGGUGGGGUAGUGGCUUACCCAGGCUUUGACGGGUAGCCGGCAUGGGAGGGUGACCGGCGACAUUGGGACUGAGAGACGGCCCAGACUGCUACGGGAGGCAGCAGUGGGGAAUAUUGCACAAUGGGAGGAAGCGUGAUGAAGAGACGCCGCGUGCGGGAUGACGGCCUGCGGGUUGUAAAACGCUUUAGCCUGUGACGAAGCGUGAGUGACGGUAAUGGGUAAAGAAGCACCGGCUAACUACGUG